RNAcentral lists this ribosomal RNA (718 nucleotides) under Corallococcus sp. 42-mcx-4. Its description in RNAcentral is "bacterial SSU rRNA". It matches the Rfam family "Bacterial small subunit ribosomal RNA", at positions 67 to 767 of the family's 1533-position model. The record is from RNAcentral. Lineage: Bacteria; Pseudomonadati; Myxococcota; Myxococcia; Myxococcales; Myxococcaceae.
CGAAUAGGGGCAACCCUUAGUAGAGCGGCGCACGGGUGCGUAACACGUGGAUAAUCUGCCUGGAUGCCUGGGAUAACCAGUCGAAAGAUUGGCUAAUACCGGAUAAGCCCACGGUUUCUUCGGAGACUGAGGGAAAAGGUGGCCUCUGUAUACAAGCUAUCACAACCAGAUGAGUCCGCGGCCCAUCAGCUAGUUGGCGGGGUAAUGGCCCACCAAGGCGACGACGGGUAGCUGGUCUGAGAGGACGAUCAGCCACACUGGAACUGAGACACGGUCCAGACUCCUACGGGAGGCAGCAGUGGGGAAUUUUGCGCAAUGGGCGAAAGCCUGACGCAGCAACGCCGCGUGUGUGAUGAAGGUCUUUGGAUUGUAAAGCACUUUCGACCGGGACGAAACCGUAAAGCCUAAUACGCUUUGCCUUGACGGUACCGGGAGAAGAAGCACCGGCUAACUCUGUGCCAGCAGCCGCGGUAAUACAGAGGGUGCAAGCGUUGUUCGGAAUUAUUGGGCGUAAAGCGCGUGUAGGCGGCUUUGCAAGUCGGGUGUGAAAGCCCUCAGCUCAACUGAGGAAGUGCGCCCGAAACUGCAGAGCUUGAGUGCCGGAGAGGGUGGCGGAAUUCCCCAAGUAGAGGUGAAAUUCGUAGAUAUGGGGAGGAACACCGGUGGCGAAGGCGGCCACCUGGACGGUAACUGACGCUGAGACGCGAAAGCGUGGGUA